AAUUGAAGCACUCCAUAAGAACAUGAGGACUAAAUGCACAAAUUGUCCUUUUUGAACCAUAUAUAACCCCAUUUCAGAACCCUAAAAAAAAUCACUUUUCAGCCACUCCCCAAAAUUGCGCCGUAACUCUUCUCUCCCUCUGCUGUUCCAACUCCUCCUCUACUCCGAUGGCGUCAAAGCAAAGGAGUCCUCCAACAACACCGCACCGCCAAAUCCGUUUACAAAUAGCUAUCCUCCCCAUUUUGCUUGCUGUUGUUCGUGAUUUACAGAUGCACGCGAAGGGCCGAACGUGAGCGACGUGGAGGUUGCCGAACGUGGGGGCAACGUGCGGCACCCAAACUGCUGUUAGUCACUGCUUAGGGUUAGGCUGGGGUUUGGGCUUGUUCAGGUAUUGGGCCUGCAAUUUGGGUUACUGGGUUUAGUAAUUUGGGUUAUUGUAAAUGGGCCGGGCAAAAUUUGUUUAUUACAAUGUUUAUAUUUUAUAAUUAAAAUUAAAUAAAAUUUAUUUAUUAAAUGAA
This is a long non-coding RNA of Gossypium raimondii (Peruvian cotton), 518 nucleotides long. RefSeq lists it as uncharacterized. The record is from RefSeq and is a predicted model, not a curated record. The transcript has 2 exons. Lineage: Eukaryota; Viridiplantae; Streptophyta; Magnoliopsida; Malvales; Malvaceae.